Molecule: ribosomal RNA, 147 nt
Filed under: Bacillus sp. MUM 116
Lineage: Bacteria; Bacillati; Bacillota; Bacilli; Caryophanales; Bacillaceae
Description: partial 23S ribosomal RNA
Rfam family: Bacterial large subunit ribosomal RNA
Source: RNAcentral
UUAGGUUAAGUUAGAAAGGGCGCACGGUGAAUGCCUUGGCACUAGGAGCCGAUGAAGGACGGGACUAACACCGAUAUGCUUCGGGGAGCUGUAAGUAAGCUUUGAUCCGGAGAUUUCCGAAUGGGGGAACCCACUGCUCGUAAUGGA